This is a non-coding RNA of Rattus norvegicus (Norway rat), 1369 nucleotides long. The record is from RefSeq and is a predicted model, not a curated record. NCBI's taxonomy places the organism in Eukaryota, Metazoa, Chordata, Mammalia, Rodentia, Muridae.
UAUUGGGAAAUGCAACCAGAAGCUGUGCCUAGACUGUUUAAAUCAUUGCCUUGCUUCUUCCACAAUGUGCCCCAGUGAGCUGUUUGCUCCUGUCUUUGUAUGAAUUGGAGUCUCAACCCUUCUAGAGGUGGUCCCUCAACCAGGACACCCUACACAGGACAGUGUGAAGAAGAAAUGAUGGAGUCCUAAAGGCUGUCUCAAGAAGCAGCUUCUGAAAUUGAUGGGAAUCUUGGCUUCAUUAGAAGCAACCUGUCUUCAGAAAUACCUGCGUGUGUGACCGUUUUCACAAAGAUGUUCACAGAAGCAUUGAUGUCAAACGUUAGCCCAUCACUAAGCUUGCUUUUAUAAACCACUGACUGAUCAUAGUACAGAAAACAACUCAGUCAUUGCAAAGAGACACACGACAGAGAGAUGAACCCAAAUCCAAGCUAUCUAUCUAUGAAGCUUAGAUACAGGAGGUAAUACAGUGAGUUUCAGGACUAUAUAUACAAAACAAAUCUUGCUACGCAAACCCUCCUUUCCUCUGUACAUGUGACUUGAUGGGCUAUAAUUGUUUAUUUGGAAUGUGAUUACCAAGUAUCAUAAGGCUACAAAGUGCAUAAGUGGCAAAAACUCGUUCUUUGCAGUUUUGGAGAAGGGAAGUCUGAGACCAGGGUAUCAGCAUGAUUGGGGGCUGGUAGGGACCUCUUCAUUUUGCACUACCAAAUUUUUAUCAUGGGAGUUGGUGGCGAACGUGUUCUCACGACCCCUCCUUUUAUUCUGAGUGCUAAUUCUAUUUGUGAGAGCACCACUCUUAUAACUUGUUUGCCUUUCAAAGCUUCCACUUCCCCAAACCAGAGUAUUAGGGUUAGGGCUUCAAAAUAUGCAUCCUGGGGGAGACAUCCUAUUUAGCCCAUAGCACAUACAUGUGAAAUCUGCUUCAUCUGGACUUCUGGAGAGUUAUGAAAGUCAGUGACCCUCCUUGCAGAAUGCAGGACAGAGUCUGCAAAGCUUGAGGAAGGGGAGUGGGGAGCCGGUGGAGUGCUGUGUAACACAGUGGGCACGUAUAGACAGCUGGCAGACCAUAAAGCCCAGGAAGAGGAGCAACACCAAAAGGUGCCGGGAAGAGAACGAUUGUAAGAGAACGAUUACUGUAUGAGCUUCAAGAUGCUUCCUACAUUCUUAAGGAAGUGACCGUGUUUUUGUCAGAGGUGGGAAUGGUGGGAAAGAUGGCUACAAGGCGAAGUGGACCUCCAUGCACAGCUAUGCCGGCUUCUGUGUUGAUGAGGAAGUCGUCUUUUAUUAUGUGGAGGACUCUUAUAAAGAUCCUGUAUGUUCAUGAGGAAAAUGUAUGUCAGAAUCUGCCCACACUGACAAUAAGCCUGGAGGA